Molecule: long non-coding RNA, 294 nt
Organism: Homo sapiens (human)
Lineage: Eukaryota; Metazoa; Chordata; Mammalia; Primates; Hominidae
Exons: 2
Source: RefSeq, a predicted model, not a curated record
GAAGAUAAAGGAACAGCUGCAAGAUACUGCAGAGUGAAGAAUGGUAAUUCAGCAGAAGCCAGAAAUCAAACCCAGAGGUACCAAGAGAAUGGGAAGCCCAGAAGUAUCUCAGGGAGUUUGGGAGAGCACCAACUUCCCAUAACACAUGGGAUGAGGUUUCCAGGAUUCAAUGAGAAGACAGCAGUCUGCAAUCCAGAAGAGGACCCUCACCAGAAUGCAACCCUGCCAGCAUGCUGAUCUAGGAUUUCUAGCCUUCCAAACUGCGAGAAAUAAAUUUCAUUUGUAUAUAAGCCA